AACGAACGCUGGCGGCAUGCCUAACACAUGCGAGUCGAACGAGACCUUCGGGUCUAGUGGCGCACGGGUGCGUAACGCGUGGGAACCUGCCCUUAGGUUCGGAAUAACUCCCCGAAAGGGGUGCUAAUACCGGAUAAUGUCUUCGGACCAAAGAUUUAUCGCCUUUGGAUGGGCCCGCGUUGGAUUAGCUAGUUGGUAGGGUAAAAGCCUACAAAGGCGACGAUCCAUAGCUGGUCUGAGAGGAUGAUCAGCCACACUGGGACUGAGACACGGCCCAGACUCCUACGGGAGGCAGCAGUGGGGAAUAUUGGACAAUGGGCGAAAGCCUGAUCCAGCAAUGCCGCGUGAGUGAUGAAGGCCUUAGGGUUGUAAAGCUCUUUUACCCGGGAUGAUAAUGACAGUACCGGGAGAAUAAGCGCCGGCUAACUCCGUG
This 433-nucleotide ribosomal RNA is filed under the name uncultured bacterium. Its description in RNAcentral is "partial 16S ribosomal RNA". It matches the Rfam family "Bacterial small subunit ribosomal RNA", at positions 29 to 507 of the family's 1533-position model. The record is from RNAcentral.